This 425-nucleotide ribosomal RNA is filed under the name uncultured bacterium. Its description in RNAcentral is "bacterial SSU rRNA". It matches the Rfam family "Bacterial small subunit ribosomal RNA", at positions 354 to 796 of the family's 1533-position model. The record is from RNAcentral.
GUGGGGAAUAUUGGACAAUGGGCGAAAGCCUGAUCCAGCCAUGCCGCGUGAGUGAUGAAGGCCUUAGGGUUGUAAAGCUCUUUCAGUAGGGAAGAUAAUGACGGUACCUACAGAAGAAGCCCCGGCUAACUUCGUGCCAGCAGCCGCGGUAAUACGAAGGGGGCUAGCGUUGUUCGGAUUUACUGGGCGUAAAGCGCACGUAGGCGGAUUGGUCAGUUAGAGGUGAAAUCCUGGAGCUCAACUCCAGAACUGCCUUUAAUACUGCCAGUCUAGAGUCCAGAAGAGGUGAGUGGAACUCCUAGUGUAGAGGUGGAAUUCGUAGAUAUUAGGAAGAACACCAGUGGCGAAGGCGGCUCACUGGUCUGGUACUGACGCUGAGGUGCGAAAGCGUGGGGAGCAAACAGGAUUAGAUACCCUUGUAGUCC